GUAGGGGUGCGAGCGUUAUCCGGAAUCAUUGGGCGUAAAGAGCUCGUAGGGCGGUUCAGCAAGUCGGCUGUGAAAUUCCGAGGCUCAACCUCGGAACUGCAGUCGAUACUGUUGUGACUCGAGUCCGGUAGAGGAGAAUGGAAUUCCCGGUGUAGCGGUGAAAUGCGCAGAUAUCGGGAGGAACACCAGUAGCGAAGGCGGUUCUCUGGGCCGGCACUGACGCUGAGGAGCGAAAGCGUGGGUAGCAAACAGGAUUAGAUACCCUGGUAGUCCACGCCGUAAACGUUGGAUACUAGGUGUGGGGUUCCGACCAACGGUCCCCGUGCCGAAGCUAACGCAUUAAGUAUCCCGCCUGGGGAGUACGGCCGCAAGGCUA
This 376-nucleotide ribosomal RNA is filed under the name uncultured organism. RNAcentral describes it as "partial 16S ribosomal RNA". It matches the Rfam family "Bacterial small subunit ribosomal RNA", at positions 526 to 896 of the family's 1533-position model. The record is from RNAcentral.